UUCGCCAGGGAACAACGAGCCCCAGCUUAAAACCCAAAGGACUUGGCGGUGCUUUAGACCCCCCUAGAGGAGCCUGUUCUAGAACCGAUACUCCCCGUUCAACCUCACCCUCCCUUGUUUACCCCGCCUAUAUACCGCCGUCGUCAGCUUACCCUGUGAAGGCCUAACAGUAAGCAAAAUUGGCAAAGCCCAAAACGUCAGGUCGAGGUGUAGCGUACGGGAGGGGAAGAAAUGGGCUACAUUUACUGAACCAGUAAACACGGACAUUGCACUGAAAUGAGCAUCUGAAGGAGGAUUUAGCAGUAAGGAGAAAACAGAGCGCUCCCCUGAAAAUGGCCCUGAAGCGCGCACACACCGCCCGUCACUCUCCCCAAAACCUGCAACUCAUAAAUAAUACAAUCAAGCCUAAAACAAAGGGGAGGCAAGUCGUAACAUGGUAAGUGUACCGGAAGGUGCACUUGGAAAAAUA
RNAcentral lists this ribosomal RNA (469 nucleotides) under Asterropteryx semipunctata (starry goby). RNAcentral describes it as "partial 12S ribosomal RNA". It matches the Rfam family "Bacterial small subunit ribosomal RNA", at positions 868 to 1533 of the family's 1533-position model. The record is from RNAcentral. Lineage: Eukaryota; Metazoa; Chordata; Actinopteri; Gobiiformes; Gobiidae.